Long non-coding RNA from Planococcus citri (citrus mealybug), 696 nucleotides. RefSeq lists it as uncharacterized. NCBI's taxonomy places the organism in Eukaryota, Metazoa, Arthropoda, Insecta, Hemiptera, Pseudococcidae. The transcript is spliced from 2 exons. The record is from RefSeq and is a predicted model, not a curated record.
CUGUUUUGCGUGUUGGAAGUCGUUUAAACUGUAUUAUUAUCGACUAUAGUGUACAUAGCUGUUUUUUCGCCAAAAGCAUUCGGUGAUUCAAUAUUCUUACGUCAGAUCUUUUCUUUACUAAGGAGUUUAAGAUCGAAAUGUGCCAGACUACGAAUAGAAAUGGGAUCAUCAUUGGUUGACUUGGAAAAGUGAGUUUUAUUGUUGUAAAAUGGCGUACGACUUCAAAUAAAAAGGAAUGCGAAAUACAAUCAUCAUGUACGUCAAGGCUUGGAAACUUUUUCAACGAGGAACAGGGGCUUGGCUUCAUAAUAUAGCUCAAGGGUUAAAACGAUAUUCAAUCUUCAUAACUUUACGUCUUCACGUAAACCGGGUCGCAAGAUGAAUAAUUGAAUUAGAUAAUUUCUUCGAUAACAUACCUGAUUCUAUAUCUUCGGUGAGAGUAAUUUUAGCACAGGUUGACUCGAGUAGAGGAUCAAAAGCUUCUAAGACACUGUGACGUACUCUUCCACCAUCACAUUCAUUAUUGAAGGAUUUACUCAAAUUUCUUCUAGAUUUAGUUUCUUUACAAUUAACAAUCCAAUCACGAUUGUCAUUAUCAUUAUCCAGACGAGUUACUUCGUUAAACAAUGUUAGAUCGAUUAAAUUAUUAUCGUCUUUCUUUUUAAUCGCAUUCAGCACAGAAACAUUCGAAACAUU